AACGAACGCUGGCGGCAUGCCUAACACAUGCAAGUCGAACGAGACCUUCGGGUCUAGUGGCGCACGGGUGCGUAACGCGUGGGAACCUGCCCUUAGGUUCGGAAUAACUCCCCGAAAGGGGUGCUAAUACCGGAUAAUGUCUUCGGACCAAAGAUUUAUCGCCUUUGGAUGGGCCCGCGUUGGAUUAGCUAGUUGGUAGGGUAAAAGCCUACCAAGGCGACGAUCCAUAGCUGGUCUGAGAGGAUGAUCAGCCACACUGGGACUGAGACACGGCCCAGACUCCUACGGGAGGCAGCAGUGGUGAAUAUUGGACAAUGGGCGAAAGCCUGAUCCAGCAAUGCCGCGUGAGUGAUGAAGGCCUUAGGGUUGUAAAGCUCUUUUACCCGGGAUGAUAAUGACAGUACCGGGAGAAUAAGCUCCGGCUAACUCCGU
This 432-nucleotide ribosomal RNA is filed under the name uncultured bacterium. RNAcentral's name for it is "partial 16S ribosomal RNA". It matches the Rfam family "Bacterial small subunit ribosomal RNA", at positions 29 to 506 of the family's 1533-position model. The record is from RNAcentral.